UACAGAGGGGGCAAGCGUUGUUCGGAAUUACUGGGCGUAAAGCGUGCGCAGGCGGUGAUGUAAGACAGUUGUGAAAUCCCCGGGCUCAACCUGGGAACUGCAUCUGUGACUGCAUUGCUGGAGUGCGGCAGAGGGGGAUGGAAUUCCGCGUGUAGCAGUGAAAUGCGUAGAUAUGCGGAGGAACACCGAUGGCGAAGGCAAUCCCCUGGGCCUGCACUGACGCUCAUGCACGAAAGCGUGGGGAGCGAACAGG
Molecule: ribosomal RNA, 253 nt
Filed under: uncultured bacterium
Lineage: Bacteria
Description: partial 16S ribosomal RNA
Rfam family: Bacterial small subunit ribosomal RNA
Source: RNAcentral